UAUAGGAAGAUGUGGUAUGAAUACCAAUGAGACAACUCUCCAUCCAAGUCACAAUUUAUAAAAGUAAACCAUUAUAGGUCAAGGUACGGUCUUCAACACGGAGCAUUGGCUCACACCGAACAGCAAGCUAUAAAGGGCCCCAAAAAAUUACUAGUGAAAAACCAUUCAAACGAGAAAACCAACGGUCUAAUCUAUAUAAAAAAAAACGAGAAACGAGAAACACUUAUGAACCACAUCAACAAACGACAACAACUGAACAUCAGAUUCCUGACUAAGGACAGGUGCA
This 286-nucleotide long non-coding RNA is filed under the name Mytilus galloprovincialis (Mediterranean mussel). The record is from RNAcentral. Lineage: Eukaryota; Metazoa; Mollusca; Bivalvia; Mytilida; Mytilidae.